GGGCGGAGCCUGAUCAGCCAUGCCGCGUGGUGUGAAGAAGGCCUUAGGGGUUGUACAAGCUCUGUUCGGGGGUGAGGAAGGGUAGCGUAGAUUAAUACCUAUCUUAUCUUGACGUUAGCCCCCGCAAGAAGGGCCGGGUUAACUCUGUGCC
This 151-nucleotide ribosomal RNA is filed under the name uncultured bacterium. RNAcentral describes it as "partial 16S ribosomal RNA". The record is from RNAcentral.